RNAcentral lists this ribosomal RNA (445 nucleotides) under uncultured bacterium. Its description in RNAcentral is "bacterial SSU rRNA". It matches the Rfam family "Bacterial small subunit ribosomal RNA", at positions 354 to 796 of the family's 1533-position model. The record is from RNAcentral.
GUGAGGAAUAUUGGUCAAUGGGCGAGAGCCUGAACCAGCCAUGCCGCGUGCAGGAAGAAUGCCCUAUGGGUUGUAAACUGCUUUUAUUUGGGAAUAAACCUUUCUACGUGUAGAAAGCUGAAGGUACUAAAUGAAUAAGCACCGGCUAACUCCGUGCCAGCAGCCGCGGUAAUACGGAGGGUGCAAGCGUUAUCCGGAAUCAUUGGGUUUAAAGGGUCCGCAGGCGGAUUAAUAAGUCAGUGGUGAAAUCUCAUAGCUUAACUAUGAAACUGCCAUUGAUACUGUUAGUCUUGAAUAUGGUCGAUGUGGGCGGAAUAUGACAUGUAGCGGUGAAAUGCUUAGAUAUGUUAUAGAACACCGAUAGCGAAGGCAGCUCACAAGGCCAUUAUUGACGCUCAUGGACGAAAGCGUGGGGAGCAAACAGGAUUAGAAACCUCGGUAGUCC